CUUCCCUUUUUUUGUGUGUUGAUUCGGUUCUUUAGCUUGCAAGGAUCGGUCCUCUUUUUUUCGUCCGCUCAACUCUUCUCUUCUAUUCGAUUUAGCAGUUUUUGUUAAGUGAUCUGUUGGCUUACCAGAAACUUUAAAUAAGAAAUUCCAAGGGAUCAAAUAAGUCAUUUCAUGAUUCUGUAAUGUCUUCUGAAUUCUAAGUGUAACAUAUACUAACAUGACAUAUGCAUAAGUUGAACUGAAAUAUUUAUAUAAAGAUAUAUGUCUACCUAAUACCUGUAUCUUGUGUUAUCAUGAUAAGUUGAUACAAAAGCUGUUUUUCUAAUGAUCCAACUGCAGUUUUCAUGAGCUCAUCAACGGUGUAUGAACUAGGGGCGAUGCUUUGAAGGGGCCGGGAGGGGCGCCCGACCCCCGAACUUUUCGGCCAGUAGUGUUAUAUAUGUAGUUUUCGUAUAGAAAUUUUUGGGUAUAUAUGUUUUCGACCCCCCGGUUCUAUAGAAUUUUUUGGGUAUAUACGUUUUCGACCCCCCGGUAAAAAAUUUCAAGCUUCGCCACUGGUAUGAACCUCAUCAGUCACAGUGACUGGUGAUAUGGAGGCUUCUUAUCAUAAGAUACCUGCAGAUGCUCUUUGGGUUUCUUAGAAGAUAG
RNAcentral lists this long non-coding RNA (648 nucleotides) under Helianthus annuus (common sunflower). Its description in RNAcentral is "hypothetical non coding rna". The record is from RNAcentral. Lineage: Eukaryota; Viridiplantae; Streptophyta; Magnoliopsida; Asterales; Asteraceae.